UGCGUAGGCGGAAGAUUAAGUCAGUGGUGAAAUCCUGCAGCUCAACUGUAGAACUGUCAUUGAUACUGAUCUUCUUGAAUACAGUUGAGGUAGGCGGAAUAUGUAAUGUAGCGGUGAAAUGCUUAGAUAUUACAUAGAACACCGAUUGCGAAGGCAGCUUACUAAACUGUGAUUGACGCUGAGGCACGAAAGCGUGGGGAGCGAACAGGAUUAGAUACCCUGGUAGUCC
Molecule: ribosomal RNA, 229 nt
Filed under: uncultured bacterium
Lineage: Bacteria
Description: partial 16S ribosomal RNA
Rfam family: Bacterial small subunit ribosomal RNA
Source: RNAcentral